This 2897-nucleotide ribosomal RNA is filed under the name Streptococcus pneumoniae GA13430. Its description in RNAcentral is "bacterial LSU rRNA". It matches the Rfam family "Bacterial large subunit ribosomal RNA". Lineage: Bacteria; Bacillati; Bacillota; Bacilli; Lactobacillales; Streptococcaceae. The record is from RNAcentral.
UAAGUUAAUAAGGGCGCACGGUGGAUGCCUUGGCACUAGGAGCCGACGAAGGACGUGACAAACGACGAUAUGCCUUGGGUAGCUGUAAGUAAGCGAUGAUCCAGGGAUUUCCGAAUGGGGGAACCCAACAGGUAAUACCUGUUACCUACAUCUGUUAAGGAUGUGAGGAGGAAGACGCAGUGAACUGAAACAUCUAAGUAGCUGCAGGAAGAGAAAGCAAAAGCGAUUGCCUUAGUAGCGGCGAGCGAAACGGCAGAAGGGCAAACCGAAGAGUUUACUCUUCGGGGUUGUAGGACUGCAAUGUGGACUCAAAGAUUAUAGAAGAAUGAUUUGGGAAGAUCAGCCAAAGAGAGUAAUAGCCUCGUAUUUAAAAUAGUCUUUGUACUUAGCAGUAUCCUGAGUACGGCGGGACACGUGAAAUCCCGUCGGAAUCUGGGAGGACCAUCUCCCAACCCUAAAUACUCCCUAGUGACCGAUAGUGAACCAGUACCGUGAGGGAAAGGUGAAAAGCACCCCGGGAGGGGAGUGAAAUAGAACCUGAAACCGUGUGCCUACAACAAGUUCGAGCCCGUUAAUGGGUGAGAGCGUGCCUUUUGUAGAAUGAACCGGCGAGUUACGUUAUGAUGCGAGGUUAAGUUGAAGAGACGGAGCCGUAGGGAAACCGAGUCUGAAUAGGGCGCCUUAGUAUCAUGACGUAGACCCGAAACCAUGUGACCUACCCAUGAGCAGGUUGAAGGUGCGGUAAGACGCACUGGAGGACCGAACCUGGGCACGUUGAAAAGUGCUUGGAUGACUUGUGGGUAGCGGAGAAAUUCCAAACGAACUUGGAGAUAGCUGGUUCUCUCCGAAAUAGCUUUAGGGCUAGCGUCGACAUUAGAGAUUCUUGGAGGUAGAGCACUGUUUGGGUGAGGGGUCCAUCCCGGAUUACCAAUCUCAGAUAAACUCCGAAUGCCAAUGAAUUAUGGUCGGCAGUCAGACUGCGAGUGCUAAGAUCCGUAGUCGAAAGGGAAACAGCCCAGACCACCAGCUAAGGUCCCAAAAUAAUUGUUAAGUGGAAAAGGAUGUGGGGUUGCACAGACAACUAGGAUGUUAGCUUAGAAGCAGCUAUUCAUUCAAAGAGUGCGUAAUAGCUCACUAGUCGAGUGACCCUGCGCCGAAAAUGUACCGGGGCUAAAACAAUUUACCGAAGCUGUGGAUACCUUUAUAGGUAUGGUAGGAGAGCGUUCUAUGUGUGAUGAAGGUAUACCGUGAGGAGUGCUGGAACGCAUAGAAGUGAGAAUGCCGGUAUGAGUAGCGAAAGACAGGUGAGAAUCCUGUCCACCGUAAGACUAAGGUUUCCAGGGGAAGGCUCGUCCGCCCUGGGUUAGUCGGGACCUAAGGAGAGACCGAAAGGUGUAUCCGAUGGACAACAGGUUGAUAUUCCUGUACUAGAGUAUGUAGUGAUGGAGGGACGCAGUAGGCUAACUAAAGCAGACGAUUGGAAGAGUCUGUCUAAGCAGUGAGGUGUGAAUUGAGUCAAAUGCUUAAUUCUAUAACAUUGAGCUGUGAUGGGGAGCGAAGUUUAGUAGCGAAGUUAGUGACGUCACACUGCCAGAAAAGCUUCUAGCGUUUAAACAUACUCUACCCGUACCGCAAACCGACACAGGUAGUCGAGGCGAGUAGCCUCAGGUGAGCGAGAGAACUCUCGUUAAGGAACUCGGCAAAAUGACCCCGUAACUUCGGGAGAAGGGGUGCUGACUUUAAGUCAGCCGCAGUGAAUAGGCCCAAGCAACUGUUUAUCAGAAACACAGCUCUCUGCUAAAUCGUAAGAUGAUGUAUAGGGGGUGACGCCUGCCCGGUGCUGGAAGGUUAAGAGGAGUGCUUAGCGUAAGCGAAGGUAUGAAUUGAAGCCCCAGUAAACGGCGGCCGUAACUAUAACGGUCCUAAGGUAGCGAAAUUCCUUGUCGGGUAAGUUCCGACCCGCACGAAAGGCGUAAUGAUUUGGGCACUGUCUCAACGAGAGACUCGGUGAAAUUUUAGUACCUGUGAAGAUGCAGGUUACCCGCGACAGGACGGAAAGACCCCAUGGAGCUUUACUGCAGUUUGAUAUUGAGUGUCUGUACCACAUGUACAGGAUAGGUAGGAGUCUAAGAGAUCGGGACGCCAGUUUCGAAGGAGACGCUGUUGGGAUACUACCCUUGUGUUAUGGCCACUCUAACCCAGAUAGGUGAUCCCUAUCGGAGACAGUGUCUGACGGGCAGUUUGACUGGGUCGGUCGCCUCCUAAAAGGUAACGGAGGCGCCCAAAGGUUCCCUCAGAAUGGUUGGAAAUCAUUCGCAGAGUGUAAAGGUAUAAGGGAGCUUGACUGCGAGAGCUACAACUCGAGCAGGGACGAAAGUCGGGCUUAGUGAUCCGGUGGUUCCGUAUGGAAGGGCCAUCGCUCAACGGAUAAAAGCUACCCUGGGGAUAACAGGCUUAUCUCCCCCAAGAGUUCACAUCGACGGGGAGGUUUGGCACCUCGAUGUCGGCUCGUCGCAUCCUGGGGCUGUAGUCGGUCCCAAGGGUUGGGCUGUUCGCCCAUUAAAGCGGCACGCGAGCUGGGUUCAGAACGUCGUGAGACAGUUCGGUCCCUAUCCGUCGCGGGCGUAGGAAAUUUGAGAGGAUCUGCUCCUAGUACGAGAGGACCAGAGUGGACUUACCGCUGGUGUACCAGUUGUCUUGCCAAAGGCAUCGCUGGGUAGCUAUGUAGGGAAGGGAUAAACGCUGAAAGCAUCUAAGUGUGAAACCCACCUCAAGAUGAGAUUUCCCAUGAUUAUAUAUCAGUAAGAGCCCUGAGAGAUGAUCAGGUAGAUAGGUUAGAAGUGGAAGUGUGGCGACACAUGUAGCGGACUAAUACUAAUAGCUCGAGGACUUAUCCA